GGGGCCGUACUGGUUUCGACGGGGGUAGUGAGGCUGGAUAAGCGGGCCGUGGCGCCUGACCACGAUAAAACGGGUAUCUUUUUAAAAUUAACUGACAACAAUACUGUUGCUCUGGCUGCCUAAUUAGGCGCCCAUUCGCCCCGGAAGGUCUACGAGCCGGGCUCGGGUGUGAUCUGAGUAGAGAACGUGCGUGCGCAAAG
RNAcentral lists this transfer-messenger RNA (200 nucleotides) under Clostridia bacterium. RNAcentral describes it as "partial transfer-messenger RNA". It matches the Rfam family "transfer-messenger RNA", at positions 1 to 219 of the family's 374-position model. From Rfam's summary of the family: Bacterial tmRNA, also known as 10Sa RNA or SsrA, is named for its dual tRNA and mRNA-like properties. Its role is to liberate the mRNA from a stalled ribosome. The record is from RNAcentral. Lineage: Bacteria; Bacillati; Bacillota; Clostridia.